UACGUAGGGGGCAAGCGUUUGUCCGGAUUUAUUGGGCGUAAAGAGCGUGUAGGCGGCUAGAUAGGUCCGUUGUGAAAACUCGAGGCUCAACCUCGAGACGUCGAUGGAAACCAUCUGGCUAGAGUCCGGAAGAGGAGAGUGGAAUUCCUGGUGUAGCGGUGAAAUGCGUAGAGAUGGGGGAGAACACUCGUGGCGGAAGGCGGCCAGCUAGACCAGUUCUGACACUGAGGCGCGAUAGCGUGGGGGAGCAAACAGG
Molecule: ribosomal RNA, 256 nt
Filed under: uncultured bacterium
Lineage: Bacteria
Description: partial 16S ribosomal RNA
Rfam family: Bacterial small subunit ribosomal RNA
Source: RNAcentral